GGGGCUGGGGCUCAGCGGUAGAGCCCUCACCAAGCACAUGUGAGGCCCUGGGUUCGAUCCUCAGCACCACUU
RNAcentral lists this transfer RNA (72 nucleotides) under Marmota monax (woodchuck). RNAcentral's name for it is "tRNA.Ala". The record is from RNAcentral. Lineage: Eukaryota; Metazoa; Chordata; Mammalia; Rodentia; Sciuridae.